CUGGAACCUAGUAUUGACCAUCAAGAGCUUUGCUUACUCUUAUCCCAUGGCGGAAAGGUGAAGGAUGAUCACAUCUCCCUUUUGAUCAAUGCUGGGCUUCUCACUCGCCAACUGAUUGAUCCAAACAUGUUCUGGUUUGCAGUUCCAAAUAUUGGUUCAGUACUCAAGGGCCUCUCUCAGGGGAGAAAGGAACUCCUUUCUCUUUUAAACCGGAGGAGAUAUAAAGAAAUCAUGUUGGC
Molecule: unclassified non-coding RNA, 239 nt
Filed under: Hevea brasiliensis (rubber tree)
Lineage: Eukaryota; Viridiplantae; Streptophyta; Magnoliopsida; Malpighiales; Euphorbiaceae
Source: RNAcentral